Molecule: long non-coding RNA, 513 nt
Organism: Hemicordylus capensis (graceful crag lizard)
Lineage: Eukaryota; Metazoa; Chordata; Lepidosauria; Squamata; Cordylidae
Exons: 2
Source: RefSeq, a predicted model, not a curated record
CAGGAAUGUCCUCAGGAAGCAGCAGGCUGAGAGCUGCUGGAGAAAUGAAAAGACCUGGCAGGUUAACAAAACACCAGCUGAACACUGUGGCUUCCCCUGGCAAUGCGGAGGCAAUAUUCUGGCAUGGCCCCAUCUUUCCUUCCCACCCACUCAGGGACAUACUUUCAGGAGGCACCGCAGCAUUCAGAGGGAAGGGGAGACUGUCAAAAAACCACUCCCUUCCCCACUCCCAUGGCAGCAAAGCAGUAUUCUGGGAUUCAGCACACUACUUCCAGCGCUAGUUUUACCAGUGAAUUCUGGGAUUCAGCACACUACAUCCAGUGCUAGUCUGGUUGUCUGACACUGAAUACCACAUAUGUGUCAUCUGAGAUCUAAGCUUUGUAAAAAAGAUGGUCUGAAGAAGCUAUUCAUUCGCCAAGCCCAGGUACUCAAACUGAAGACUUCAGAAAUAAAAACCAAAAAGAAUGAGAUUAUAUUUCCUCAUUAAAUUCAUAUUUAUUUUUUGUUUAUUCA